Molecule: non-coding RNA, 115 nt
Organism: Danio rerio (zebrafish)
Lineage: Eukaryota; Metazoa; Chordata; Actinopteri; Cypriniformes; Danionidae
Source: Rfam
UGCCACGGCCAUCCCCCUGCAGCCCAAGACCGGUUACUCACUGAAACUAAGCAGGGGUGAGCCUGGUCAGUACCUGGAUGGGGGACAACAUGGGAAAACUAGGUUGGUGUUGGAA